GUUCUAGUAAGUAUUUAUAGAUAACAAGUUAACAUUCAGUUGUGGUAACUGAGUUUAAAAUAUGUCCUACUGAUGCAUACUUCUCCUAGGAUACUGGAGAGAAUUCCCCAUUCCAGUGAUACUCUACAAUGGAAGGAAAAAAGAGCCAGAGGGAAGGACUGGGUUGAGAGCACAAGACUGAACAUAUAGGAGAGAGGAAGCAUAUGGCACUGCAAAAGUUCUGAGAAGGAAGGCGGAUUCUGUACCCACUGAGCCAGCAGGGAAGCCUAAUGGAUAGAUGGAUGCCACAUGAAAGCCAGCCAGUCAACACCAAGAAGGACACUGAAGGCUUAUUGAAGAGCUAUGAGAAACAGCAGCGAGGACCCAGAACAUUCCAUAUCUCCAGACUGUGCAUCUUUGUGGGUCUGGGUGGAAUGGGGACCACCUUGUGGACUCUGAUGGCUUUUAUUUACAUCCUGAAUUCCCUUCAGAGUAGUUUUCUUGGGGGCAGUCAAUUUAAGAUGUAAAACCAAAGUGGAAAAGACAAGUGGAGCUGGUUCUUCUGAGGGCUCUUCCCCUUCUGGACCAGGCAAAGGUCAUGCCUCAGCUGUGACCCAUUCAUUCCCUGGGGGUGUCCAAGCCUGGAGGGACUCUGUCCCAUUCAGUCCCUGGAAGCUGGUUAGCCAAGCUGCCAGGCUCCCUGCCUUCCCUCCCCCAUGACUGACAUUGGUCCAGAAUGUCCAUUACCUUUGUGAACAAGGUUUGCUGUUCAUUAAAAAUUGCCUUUCCUGUGAACAAGAAAAUUACUUGCUUCCCCCCCCACCCUUUAGCUGACAGUCUCACUUCUCAUUAGGAUUGGACGAGCUGCAAACCCAAUCUAAUCCAGAAAUGCCCAAUAAGACUAAUUUGAAUUUUGUCCCAGGCCAAAUGAUGGGGAGGAAGUAACUGGAGAGAGGAACAGAAACCUCAUCUCAUUGCAUUUCUAAUUAUGUUGUUUCUCCCAGUGUGGGAAGAAUGGAACCCUGGGCCAGGCAGCCCCUGGGUCUGGGUGGUUUCAUCCAGAGAUUAAGUUCAUCUGGAGUGAAACUCAUAUAGAGCCUCGCAUUGCCAUUGCGCCACCUGCUGGAAGUUUGGAAAAAGAAUCUGAAACUCAGGGCUUGGUUGUAACUGGUAACUUCACAGUCUUAAUGAUUGUACUACUUCUCAUUUUGUCUUAUUACACAAGUUACACAGGUUUUUUUGGAAGACAAUUUAGAAAGUUCAUAUAAUUAAAACAAAACAAGUCACUCACAAUCCUGUCACCUAGAGAUUACCAGUGUUCAUAUUUUGUUAGCUUUCCUUCCAUCCUUCCAGUCUUUUUUCUAUUCAGGUAAUAAUAUGUAAUGUGUAAUAAUAUGUAAAUUCAUAUACACUGUCUCAUUCAAUACACGUUAUUCUGUAGCCUAAUUCACAGGCUUAACAUUAUGUAUUAAAUCUUUUUGCAUGUCAUUAAUUAUAAUGUGCAACCUGACUUUUGCUGAGCAGUUUUUAAAUAUCUCUUUAUCAUAAUUCUAUUAAUUACAGUUGUCUAUGCUUUGUGUUUUUACUAAAUCUUUUCCCCCUCCCUUUUCUCCCCUUCUUUCUUUCUCCUUCAUCCUUUCUUUCCUUCCUUCCAGCUUUUCAUCUUUACUUUUGUUUUCCCUCUAGUAGAAAACUUUUUCCACAGCAGAUGCUGUUUGGGGCAAUUCCUAGCAGUAUCUCUGGCCUCCCUCACCCCUUCAUAUGAGGGGCUCUAGAGUGUGUGGAUCACAAUAAAC
This 1775-nucleotide long non-coding RNA is filed under the name Bos indicus x Bos taurus (hybrid cattle). RNAcentral's name for it is "lncRNA (ENSBIXG00005013479.1)". Lineage: Eukaryota; Metazoa; Chordata; Mammalia; Artiodactyla; Bovidae. The record is from RNAcentral.